This 434-nucleotide ribosomal RNA is filed under the name uncultured bacterium. RNAcentral describes it as "partial 16S ribosomal RNA". It matches the Rfam family "Bacterial small subunit ribosomal RNA", at positions 341 to 792 of the family's 1533-position model. RNAcentral also lists the same sequence under 1 other name. The record is from RNAcentral.
ACGGAAGGCAGCAGUGGGGAAUAUUGCACAAUGGGGGAAACCCUGAUGCAGCGACGCCGCGUGAGUGAAGAAGUAUUUCGGUAUGUAAAGCUCUAUCAGCAGGGAAGAUAAUGACGGUACCUGACUAAGAAGCACCGGCUAAAUACGUGCCAGCAGCCGCGGUAAUACGUAUGGUGCAAGCGUUAUCCGGAUUUACUGGGUGUAAAGGGAGCGCAGACGGCAUAGCAAGCCAGAUGUGAAAGGUGGGGGCUCAACCCCCAAACUGCAUUUGGAACUGUUAAGCUAGAGUGUCGGAGAGGUAAGUGGAAUUCCUAGUGUAGCGGUGAAAUGCGUAGAUAUUAGGAGGAACACCAGUGGCGAAGGCGGCUUACUGGACGAUAACUGACGUUGAGGCUCGAAAGCGUGGGGAGCAAACAGGAUUAGAUACCCUGGUA